This 20-nucleotide unclassified non-coding RNA is filed under the name Mus musculus (house mouse). Its description in RNAcentral is "oocyte_clustered_small_RNA9374". The record is from RNAcentral. Lineage: Eukaryota; Metazoa; Chordata; Mammalia; Rodentia; Muridae.
GGACCACUGAGCACUGAUUU